AUACGUAGGGGGCAAGCGUUAUCCGGAUUUACUGGGUGUAAAGGGAGCGUAGAACGGUUCUGCAAGUCUGGAGUGAAAGCCCGGGGCUCAACCCCGGGACUGCUUUGGAAACUGUUGGAACUAGAGUGCAGGAGAGGUAAGUGGAAUUCCUAGUGUAGCGGUGAAAUGCGUAGAUAUUAGGAGGAACACCAGUGGCGAAGGCGGCUUACUGGACUGUAACUGACGUUGAGGCUCGAAAGCGUGGGGAGC
Molecule: ribosomal RNA, 249 nt
Filed under: uncultured bacterium
Lineage: Bacteria
Description: partial 16S ribosomal RNA
Rfam family: Bacterial small subunit ribosomal RNA
Source: RNAcentral